Molecule: ribosomal RNA, 253 nt
Filed under: uncultured microorganism
Description: partial small subunit ribosomal RNA
Rfam family: Bacterial small subunit ribosomal RNA
Source: RNAcentral
UACGUAGGGGGCGAGCGUUACCCGGAAUCACUGGGCGUAAAGGGAGCGUAGGUGGCCUAACAUGUCAACUGUGAAAACCCGGAGCUCAACUCCGGACUUGCAGUUGAAACUGGUAGGCUUGAGGACGGUAGAGGAAGACGGAACUGCCAGUGUAGAGAUAAAGUCCUUAGAUAUUGGCGGGAACGCCGGUGACGAAGAUAGUUUUCUAAACCGGUUCUGACACUGAUGCUCGAAAGCCAGGGGAGCGAACGGG